RNAcentral lists this transfer RNA (86 nucleotides) under Arthrobacter sp. CDRTa11. RNAcentral describes it as "tRNA-OTHER". The record is from RNAcentral. Lineage: Bacteria; Bacillati; Actinomycetota; Actinomycetes; Micrococcales; Micrococcaceae.
GGGUGCUCCGGUGAGCGCGAAAAAGACAUCGUCAAGGUCGGGUGCUGCGGUGGUGACCUCGGCCGGUUCGACUCCGGCUGCCGCCA